Non-coding RNA from Schizosaccharomyces pombe (fission yeast), 1418 nucleotides. The record is from the annotation of a GenBank genome assembly. NCBI's taxonomy places the organism in Eukaryota, Fungi, Ascomycota, Schizosaccharomycetes, Schizosaccharomycetales, Schizosaccharomycetaceae.
GACAAAAAAUAUUGUACCUAAUUAUAUAUACAUCUGUACCGUUUAACCCAACAUUAUGACUAGACCCGUCUCAAGAUAGUGUUGCGUUGCUCAUAAACGUUCCGCUUUGAAUUUGAGCUUCCUUAUAUAUUUCUUGCAAAGAAUCAUCAAACGUCAGUAUUUUCAGCUUUUCCAUUGAUUGAAACGCGUUUAUCACUAACAUGUGUAAAGCAAGCGCAAUAGAGCUUUCGGCGGCUGAUGACGAUGAUAUCGCAUGCAAAGUUUUAACAAAGAACGAGUAAAAUAUCUUUUUUGUUUUAAAAGGGAUUUGAAAGUCUGAGGAAAUUGACUGAUAUUUUUCUACAAUAGCUUGAAGAUCAUCGACAAAACCUGGGUCAGUCAAAACCAUUGACGUUAUCCUAGGAUCAUUUUUUUUUAAACCAAAAAUACCUUUACCAGAGAUACCAGAAUCAUUUGAAGGAUAAGCACCCCUUAAUUUUAUAAAUAUUUCCAAAAAACACCAACGAUGCAAUAAAACUCCAUAAAUUUCUCCACUCUCAUUUUUGAAAUGCUCAAAAUGCUCAUUACAAAUACCAAUUAUAUUUUCUUGGUACAUGUAUUGAACCACGGGAACAUCAAAGCACUCAAAUAAAGCAUCUAAAACCGAGACAAAAAAUCCCACGUAAUUUUGAAGACUCAAGUUUUUUCUUGAGUUCAGAAUGAUUUGUAAAAGUACAUUAGCAAAUUUUUGAGUCUGCUGUUCCUUAGAUGAUAUAUUGCCAAUAUCAUCAGAUAUAUUAAGGUCGGAAUCGUUCUUUCUAACUUCUGAAGAACUAGAGCCCAAAAAUUCUUCCAUACUAACCAUAGGCAACUGAAUUGUAUCACUGGACAAUGAACCUAUAGUAUCCUCCGAAACUCCAUUCGUUAUAUUUUCGGUUUUCGAAGAUAUAUUUCCCGUGAGGAUCUGCGAACGAGCAAAAAGUUUUGUCAUAUAGGACAACUCUAAGCGAAAGUAAGCAGCCCAUAUAACAGGAUUUUCUUGGUUUAGACGAAGAGCACGGUUCAUUAAUGCACGAGCUGCGGAAACAUUAGCGUUGAUGCUAAACUCAUGAUCACACGCUACUACCCAAAGCUCAGCGUUAUUCGGAUGUUUCUGAAGAGCUGCAACACAUAUCUUUCCCACAAUAUUCACAGCUUUGAUCUUUUGAGCGUAGUGAAUGUAGUCUAACCAUAAGGUAACGUCCCCAAAAAAUUUAUUCGUAGCUCUCAAAAACAGGAAUAAGACCUUACGAGGGCCAGCAUAAUCGCUAAUCGUUAUUUUCCCUGUAAUAUUGAGCCUUUUAUGUCUUUUAGCACGCAAAGUCUCCAGAUUUAUCUCAUAUUGGAUAUAGCUGAGGAAAUCGUUUAACUUAACCUGCCGACGGGCUAAUUUUUCUUCA